UACGAAGGGGGCUAGCGUUGUUCGGCAUUACUGGGCGUAAAGCGCACGUAGGCGGGUUUGUAAGUAGGGGGUGAAAUCCCCGGGCUCAACCCGGGAACUGCCUUCUAGACUGCAAGCCUGGAGGUCAGGAGAGGCGAGUGGAAUUCCGAGUGUAGAGGUGAAAUUCGUAGAUAUUCGGAGGAACGCCAGUGGCGAAGGCGCCUCGCUGGACUGAUACUGACGCUGAGGUGCGAAAGCGUGGGGAGCAAACAGG
RNAcentral lists this ribosomal RNA (253 nucleotides) under uncultured bacterium. Its description in RNAcentral is "partial 16S ribosomal RNA". It matches the Rfam family "Bacterial small subunit ribosomal RNA", at positions 524 to 776 of the family's 1533-position model. The record is from RNAcentral.